UAUAAAUAAGGACGCCUUGGGCUUGCUCGGCCUUUUAAGGGAAGACCUUUGCCCUGUGAACGUGGAGGUGAUCGCCUUCGGUCAAGAUUCCAAAUAACUUGAUUUGGGGUGAGUAAAUCUGAAUUGCUUUUGGCUUACUGGUUUUGCCUGUCAGCAUUUUGCAAAAGACGUUUAAUCAUUCUGAGCUCAGUCCCCCUUCAUGAAGGUGCUAUUGCUGGUUAAUACAUCCAGAUAGAAACUUUGCUACAUCUUUGUAGGCAUGUUGGCAGUAUUUUAGAUAUAUGUUCAUGUUCUGGGGAGAUGCUCCUUCCAGUAAGACUGCUAAGAUUUUUACAUCUUUCAUUCUUACGUGAUAUAGAGGAGAAAUUUCUACUUAGCAAAUUUAAAAAAUUGUGAUAGCUUGGACUGACUUAACCGGUCACCCUGGUGAAAUUUACAUGAGUCAUGUGAUGUGCAUGCCCCCUCAAAGCCCAUCCCCAGGAGAAGGGUUUGGUCUCAACAAUCCCUUUUCAUGGUGCUGGGGUUGAAGCUGGGCAUGUGCGUCUGCAUACUCCUACAGUGAAUGAUCGUGAUCAAGUAGGUAAACCAUGAAGGAGAACAUAGUGACAAGUUUGGAAUUGAUUUAAAAAUAGUUAAUCAACAGGCUCUCCCCACAGCUACAUGUAGUGUGGGGAGUGAAGAAAAAUGAAAUCUCUACAAGGUUUUGAGGGGUAAAUACUGUUCAGCAGUGCUGUCCUUAAUUCCAGCUUAUAAUUGAUCAGGCACUCCCGACGUGGAUACCCCGGGAGGUCACUCUCCCCGGGCUCUGUCCAGGUGGCGCAGGGGAGCAUAGGGCUCUGCCCCGUGAUGUACAGUCCCUUUCCACGACGUUGGAGAGAAAGCCGGGCCUUGAGUCUGCGCCUGCAUAUUCCUACAGCUUCUCAGAGUCCUGUGGACAAUGACUGAGGAGACAAACCAUGCAGGAAACAUCU
Miniopterus natalensis is the source of this 971-nucleotide long non-coding RNA. RefSeq lists it as uncharacterized. Lineage: Eukaryota; Metazoa; Chordata; Mammalia; Chiroptera; Miniopteridae. The record is from RefSeq and is a predicted model, not a curated record.